CUCGGGGGAGGGGGAUCCCUCAGCCCAAAUUGUGAGAGGGCACAGGUCAGGCUCAGGGACCCCACUCGUGUAUG
This 74-nucleotide microRNA precursor is filed under the name Myotis lucifugus (little brown bat). Its description in RNAcentral is "mir-9193 microRNA precursor family". It matches the Rfam family "mir-9193 microRNA precursor family". The record is from Rfam by way of RNAcentral. Lineage: Eukaryota; Metazoa; Chordata; Mammalia; Chiroptera; Vespertilionidae.